GACGAACGCUGGCGGCGUGCUUAACACAUGCAAGUCGAACGGAAAGGCCUCUUUCGGGGGGUACUCGAGUGGCGAACGGGUGAGUAACACGUGAGUAACCUGCCCUUGACUUUGGGAUAACUUCAGGAAACUGGGGCUAAUACCGGAUAGGAGCUCCUGCUGCAUGGUGGGGGUUGGAAAGUUUCGGCGGUUGGGGAUGGACUCGCGGCUUAUCAGCUUGUUGGUGGGGUAGUGGCUUACCAAGGCUUUGACGGGUAGCCGGCCUGAGAGGGUGACCGGCCACAUUGGGACUGAGAUACGGCCCAGACUCCGACGGGAGGCAGAAGUGGGGAAUAUUGCACAAUGGGUGGAAGCCUGAUGCAGCAACGCCGUGGGCGGGAUGACGGCCUUCGGGUUGUAAACCGCUUUCGCUCAUGACGAAGCUUUGUGUGACGGUAGUGGGUAAAGAAGCACCGGCUAACUACGUG
RNAcentral lists this ribosomal RNA (467 nucleotides) under uncultured bacterium. Its description in RNAcentral is "partial 16S ribosomal RNA". It matches the Rfam family "Bacterial small subunit ribosomal RNA", at positions 28 to 507 of the family's 1533-position model. The record is from RNAcentral.